This 406-nucleotide ribosomal RNA is filed under the name uncultured bacterium. Its description in RNAcentral is "partial 16S ribosomal RNA". It matches the Rfam family "Bacterial small subunit ribosomal RNA", at positions 30 to 526 of the family's 1533-position model. The record is from RNAcentral.
AUUGAACGCUGGCGGCAGGCUUAACACAUGCAAGUCGAGCGAGCGGCGGACGGGUGCGUAAUGUCUGGGAAACUGCCUGAUGGAGGGGGAUGACUACUGGAAACGGUAGCUAAUACCGCAUACCAUCAGAUGUGCCCUGAUGGGAUUAGCUAGUAGGUGGGGUAAUGGCUCACCUAGGCGACGAUCCCUAGCUGGUCUGCGAGGAUGACCAGCCACACUGUAAUGGGGACACGGUCCAGACGCCUACGGGAGGCAGCAGUGGGGAAUAUUGCACAAUGGGCGCAAGCCUGAUGCAGCCAUGCCGCGUGAGUGAAGAAGGCCUUCGGGUUGUAAAGCACUUUCAGCGAGGAGGCGUUACUCGCAGAAGAAGCACCGGCUAACUCCGUGCCAGCAGCCGCGGUAAUAC